GGGUUGUGAGGUUAAGCGACUAAGCGUACACGGUGGAUGCCCUGGCAGUCAGAGGCGAUGAAGGGCGUGCUAAUCUGCGAUAAGCGCCGGUAAGGUGAUAUGAACCGUUAUAACCGGCGAUACCCGAAUGGGGAAACCCAGUGUGAUUCGUCACACUAUCAUUAACUGAAUCCAUAGGUUAAUGAGGCGAACCGGGGGAACUGAAACAUCUAAGUACCCCGAGGAAAAGAAAUCAACCGAGAUUCCCCCAGUAGCGGCGAGCGAACGGGGAGGAGCCCAGAGCCUGAAUCAGCAUGUGUGUUAGUGGAAGCGUCUGGAAAGGCGCGCGAUACAGGGUGACAGCCCCGUACACAAAAGCGCAUGUGCUGUGAGCUCGAUGAGUAGGGCGGGACACGUGGUAUCCUGUCUGAAUAUGGGGGGACCAUCCUCCAAGGCUAAAUACUCCUGACUGACCGAUAGUGAACCAGUACCGUGAGGGAAAGGCGAAAAGAACCCCGGCGAGGGGAGUGAAAAAGAACCUGAAACCGUGUACGUACAAGCAGUGGGAGCNNGUGACUGCGUACCUUUUGUAUAAUGGGUCAGCGACUUAUAUUCUGUAGCAAGGUUAACCGUAUAGGGGAGCCGGAGGGAAACCGAGUCUUAAUUGGGCGUUAAGUUGCAGGGUAUAGACCCGAAACCCGGUGAUCUAGCCAUGGGCAGGUUGAAGGUUGGGUAACACUAACUGGAGGACCGAACCGACUAAUGUUGAAAAAUUAGCGGAUGACCUGUGGCUGGGGGUGAAAGGCCAAUCAAACCGGGAGAUAGCUGGUUCUCCCCGAAAGCUAUUUAGGUAGCGCCUCGUGAAUUCAUCUCCGGGGGUAGAGCACUGUUUCGGCUAGGGGGCCAUCCCGGCUUACCAACCCGAUGCAAACUGCGAAUACCGGAGAAUGUUAUCACGGGAGACACACGGCGGGUGCUAACGUCCGUCGUGAAGAGGGAAACAACCCAGACCGCCAGCUAAGGUCCCAAAGUCAUGGUUAAGUGGGAAACGAUGUGGGAAGGCCCAGACAGCCAGGAUGUUGGCUUAGAAGCAGCCAUCAUUUAAAGAAAGCGUAAUAGCUCACUGGUCGAGUCGGCCUGCGCGGAAGAUGUAACGGGGCUAAACCAUGCACCGAAGCUGCGGCAGCGAACGUAUCACCCAAGACAACUUUACGGAGUUGACGAUUGACGGAGCGAAGCGACGUCAAAGCGUUCAUUAAAGUCGAGUUGGCUUAGGGAUACGUUCGUUGGGUAGGGGAGCGUUCUGUAAGCCUGUGAAGGUGUGUCGUGAGGCAUGCUGGAGGUAUCAGAAGUGCGAAUGCUGACAUAAGUAACGAUAAAGCGGGUGAAAAGCCCGCUCGCCGGAAGACCAAGGGUUCCUGUCCAACGUUAAUCGGGGCAGGGUGAGUCGACCCCUAAGGCGAGGCCGAAAGGCGUAGUCGAUGGGAAACGGGUUAAUAUUCCCGUACUUGGUGUUACUGCGAAGGGGGGACGGAGAAGGCUAUGUUGGCCGGGCGACGGUUGUCCCGGUUUAAGCGUGUAGGUGUGUGUUCCAGGUAAAUCCGGUUCACUUUAACACUGAGGCGUGACGACGAGGCACUACGGUGCUGAAGCAACAAAUGCCCUGCUUCCAGGAAAAGCCUCUAAGCAUCAGGUAACA
RNAcentral lists this ribosomal RNA (1678 nucleotides) under Salmonella enterica subsp. enterica serovar Typhimurium. Its description in RNAcentral is "bacterial LSU rRNA". It matches the Rfam family "Bacterial large subunit ribosomal RNA", at positions 1 to 1636 of the family's 2925-position model. The record is from RNAcentral. Lineage: Bacteria; Pseudomonadati; Pseudomonadota; Gammaproteobacteria; Enterobacterales; Enterobacteriaceae.